RNAcentral lists this ribosomal RNA (253 nucleotides) under uncultured bacterium. Its description in RNAcentral is "partial 16S ribosomal RNA". It matches the Rfam family "Bacterial small subunit ribosomal RNA", at positions 524 to 776 of the family's 1533-position model. The record is from RNAcentral.
UACGUAGGGAGCAAGCGUUGUCCGGAAUCAUUGGACGUAAAGCGCGCGUAGGCGGCCCUGUAAGUCCGUUGUGAAAGUCAAAGGCUCAACCUUUGAAAGCCGAUGGAUACUGCAGGGCUAGAGUCCGGAAGAGGCGAGUGGAAUUCCUGGUGUAGCGGUGGAAUGCGCAGAUAUCAGGAGGAACACCAAUAGCGAAGGCAGCUCGCUGGGACGGUACUGACGCUAAGGCGCGAAAGCGUGGGGAGCGAACAGG